RNAcentral lists this non-coding RNA (31 nucleotides) under Mus musculus (house mouse). The record is from RNAcentral. Lineage: Eukaryota; Metazoa; Chordata; Mammalia; Rodentia; Muridae.
UGUGUUCAUGACAGGCGCCCGUGCCAAGACC